This is a non-coding RNA of Monodelphis domestica (gray short-tailed opossum), 2380 nucleotides long. The record is from RefSeq and is a predicted model, not a curated record. NCBI's taxonomy places the organism in Eukaryota, Metazoa, Chordata, Mammalia, Didelphimorphia, Didelphidae.
UAUGUGUAUGCCUUUUCUGGGAACCCUGUGGAGAGGUAGCCCAAGGUACCCAAAGGCUGCUGAUCUCUGACCCGGGUCCUGCAAAUUUAAAACCAGUUUACCCUAUCAAAUAGCAAAGCAACGCCUUCUUGCUCUCUAGCCCCCACUGUAGUCCGAGAAAGAGGAUAUCGCCUAGAGCAGCAGAGUAGCUCAGAAGCACUUAGAAACCAGAGGUUAUGGGAGGAGGGAAAAACUGAGGAUACAAGAAAUCUCAGUCUGGUAAAGACCAUAGGAGUCGGAGAUAAUGAUCCAAGCCCCUUUGAGGGGUCCUUUAUUCUGAAAGAUGUGAGCUCUUUACCCUGGUGGUCCACCUGACAAAGAAAGGAGGGGAGGAGAGAGAAUGGAGGGAGAGGAGUUGUUAUCCGGAAGGGACACUCUUGCCCCCUGAUCUCUCAGUCCUGGACUGGGGAAAGAACAGUUGAAACAGCCCACCUGCCAACCCAAAAGCUGCAAGUCACGUAAUGAUCCGGUAUCAGAAAAAGACGUCACCAUCCAAUUCCUCAAGGAACAUAUUAACUACUCUGUGCUGUCCUCAUGGAUGAGAUGAUCCAGUCAUCAACUUCUCAUAAACACCUCUCACUCACACAUUCCAUUUUUUAGAAGUCUAAUUAUUUUGAUGCUUCUCAAAUUUGCCUGUUUCUUAAAGAAAAGAAAAUCACACAGAGAAUUAAGAAGAUCAGAAAGUUAAUUUUUGUAACCAUGUCCCUUCUGGUUAUUAUUACUAUUUUGUCAAGUCUCUCCAAACAAAGAUUCAGUCCCGAAUUAAAAAAACGAUAACUCUCCUCCUAUCAAAUGAGUUUAAUUUAGAUGUCCUUGUCUUUUGCAUAUAUUCUUGAAGACAGAAAAUUAAAUUAAGAGAAGUGUUGUGUUUUUAAAAGACGUUUUGAAGUCUAGGAGAAUUUUCGGAAAAUCUCUAAUUAGACUAACUGUAAUUGACAGACUGACUAGUGGGUGGAAUGAUUAGUGGAAAGUACACUGAGUUCCCAGAGUGGAGCUGUCCAAGCUCUGGGGUGCUGAGCUGUCUGGAUGCUAAAGCCACAAAACUCAGAAAUCGCCUCUAUCACCAGCUUGUUGUCACUAAAGCUCUGAAAUAUGAAGAAUUACUGGAAAAAAAAACAUUUUGUGUGAGCAAUUUUCACUGUAAAAAAAUCAUGAUAAUAAAAAAAAAUUCCAACUUCCAGUGAAUAUAUCAUUAUUCCUCAUAAUGAUGGAAACACUUCCUGCGCCAUUUCUUAUAUUUGAGAAAAGAUUAGCCAAAAGUCUCAUGUUGUUCCUUUGUUCCUGGAUCAUUGGAUCGUUUCUUCUUAACUUUCAAUAGCCAACACCAUUUAUUAAAAAUUGAAGACUGUCGAGUAUUUUGUUCUAUUUUAUAUGAAGAAAAAGGGACAUUGUUCGAAUUUGGGGCAAUGAGGAAUAUAAUUUUUUUACUUUCUUUACUGAACACAACAAAAUUGAAUCUGUGCCUAGAAUUCAGUAUGUGGCGAAGUGAACACAGACUGGAAAAGCUCGAAGUUUCCCAUUAAAAGUUCAUUUGCUCAGGGACUCUUAACGGGAAUCCCUCCUCUGGGAACUCUUUAAUCUACAAGCUUUUUCUUUUCUUUUCUUUUCUUUUUUUUACUGAAAAUGACGUGGAGAUGGCAGAACGGAAGGAGAGAAGACCACGGCCACAAGAGCUUUCUAAGUCUCUGCAUAAAUUUAGCUGAUCCACAUCUAUCCAUCCAGUGCAAGAAUGUAGGUUUAUUUCCUAUAAAGCUAAGAAAUAUAGCCACCAAUGGUCACUACUGUGCGUUUUAAUGAUUUGGAUCUUUAAAAAUAGAUGAAAUGAUAACAAUUUCUUUAAUUUCACAUUCCUAUGAUUUGAAUCUAGUAUGUAUAAAAUACCUAUUUUAGUUCAACUUGAAUAUUCCAAAAUGUAAAAAGAGUACUUCUUAAUCUCUCUCUCCCUCCCUCCUCUCUCUCUCCUUUCCCCUUCUCCUUUUACCUUUCUCCCUUCCUUCCUCUCCCAUUCUCUUUCUCUCUUUCAGGCUGUUCCCAAGAAGCAAAAUGAUUCUUUUCUUAUGUUUCUAGUAAUAACUAAGAAUUCCCAGUUAAGACACUAUUAACAUAUUCCAUAUAAUACCUAGUUAAGAUCAGAUAGCCUGUAAUAAUUAAACUCUCCAAAAUGCAUUUGUUUGCACAAGUAUUUAUUUAUGUCCUCUAUGCACAUGUACUCAUACAUAUAUCUAUCAUCUGUAUGCAUGUAUGUAUACAUACAUACAUAUAUAAAAUAUUUCAUCCUAUGAAAGACACCUAAAAGUUAGCCAUGAACCUGGCUAAAUAAACUUCAGGAAAUGCCUAAAAU